This 189-nucleotide non-coding RNA is filed under the name Karenia brevis. Lineage: Eukaryota; Dinophyceae; Gymnodiniales; Kareniaceae. The record is from RNAcentral.
GUUGAAUUACAGGUUUAUCAUGGACGAAUUAAUUGAAGUGAAAGCGACAACUUGGCUGGCAAUCAUUUUUUUCUUAUUGACGCAGGGAAUCAUGGCCCGUUUCAUACAUUCCAACUUGCACAUGACGGUUUCUUGGGCCGUCUGGUGCCAGGUGCUUUUUGCGACUGUGCCAGCGUUGAAUUAUUAUCU